UAACUCUCAACAACGGAUAUCUUGGCUCUCAGAUCGAUGAAGAACGCAGCGAAAUGCGAUACGUAGUGUGAAUUGCAGAAAUACGUGAAUCAUCGAAUCUUUGAACGCAAAUUGCGCUCGAGGCUUCGGCCAAGAGCAUGUCUGUCUCAGCGUCGGGUA
This 159-nucleotide ribosomal RNA is filed under the name Pandorina morum. RNAcentral's name for it is "5.8S ribosomal RNA". It matches the Rfam family "5.8S ribosomal RNA". Rfam says of the family: 5.8S ribosomal RNA (5.8S rRNA) is a component of the large subunit of the eukaryotic ribosome. Lineage: Eukaryota; Viridiplantae; Chlorophyta; Chlorophyceae; Chlamydomonadales; Volvocaceae. The record is from RNAcentral.